GGCACAGUAGCGAAGUGGUCAAACGCGGCUGACUUAAGAUCAGCUCCCUCUGGGUUCGCAGGUUCGAUCCCUGCCUGUGCUU
This 82-nucleotide transfer RNA is filed under the name Pseudomonadota bacterium. RNAcentral's name for it is "Proteobacteria bacterium (activated sludge metagenome) tRNA-Leu". It matches the Rfam family "tRNA". Rfam says of the family: Transfer RNA (tRNA) molecules are approximately 80 nucleotides in length. Their secondary structure includes four short double-helical elements and three loops (D, anti-codon, and T loops). Lineage: Bacteria; Pseudomonadati; Pseudomonadota. The record is from RNAcentral.